RNAcentral lists this transfer RNA (75 nucleotides) under Streptomyces nogalater. RNAcentral describes it as "tRNA-Gln". It matches the Rfam family "tRNA". Rfam says of the family: Transfer RNA (tRNA) molecules are approximately 80 nucleotides in length. The record is from RNAcentral. Lineage: Bacteria; Bacillati; Actinomycetota; Actinomycetes; Kitasatosporales; Streptomycetaceae. RNAcentral also lists the same sequence under 3 other names.
UCCCCCAUGGUGUAACUAGGCAGCACUGAGGGUUUUGGUCCCUUAAGUUCAGGUUCAAAUCCUGAUGGGGGAGCC